RNAcentral lists this non-coding RNA (135 nucleotides) under uncultured eukaryote. The record is from RNAcentral.
CAAUAAAAAAUUACAUGAAGGCGAAUGAGAUACUGUCGUUUUUUUUCACCAACUUUUUUUUUCAAGUUUCUUUUUCGACGUUUUUUUUUCUCGUGUUUGGACGAUGUCUCAAACAAUGAGGUCUGUCGAUACCGC